This 659-nucleotide ribosomal RNA is filed under the name uncultured archaeon. Its description in RNAcentral is "bacterial SSU rRNA". It matches the Rfam family "Archaeal small subunit ribosomal RNA", at positions 82 to 725 of the family's 1478-position model. The record is from RNAcentral.
CAUACGGCUCUUUAACAUGUGGUUAACCUACCCUCAGGUGGGGGACACCCUCGGGAAACUGAGGCUGAUCCCACAUAGAUGAUGGAUCCUGGAAUGGUUCUUCAUCCAAAAGGUAUGCGGCUCAUGCGUCGCGUGCCGCCUGAGGAUGGGACCGCACCCUAUCAGGUAGUUGGUGGGGUAAUGGCCCACCAAGCCUAUAACGGGUACGGGCCCUGAGAGGGGGAGCCCGGAGAUGGGCACUGAGACAAGGGCCCAGGCCCUACGGGGCGCAGCAGGCGCGAAACCUCUGCAAUGCGCGAAAGCGCGACAGGGCCACCCCGAGUGCUAGGCGCUGAGUCUAGCUUUUCCCUAGUGUAGUGAGCUAGGGGAAUAAGCGGGGGGCAAGCCUGGUGUCAGCCGCCGCGGUAAUACCAGCUCCGCGAGUGGUCGGGACGAUUAUUGGGCCUAAAGCGUUCGUAGCCGGCCUAUCAAGUCUCUGGUUAAAUUUCAAGGCUUAACCUUGAGCGUGCUGGAGAUACUGUUAGGCUAGGGGGCGGGAGAGGUUGAGGGUACUUCGCGGGUAGGGGCGAAAUCCUAUAAUCCGCGAAGGACCACCAGUGGCGAAGGCGCUCAACUGGAACGCGCCCGACGGUGAGGGACGAAAGCCAGGGGAGCAAAGG